Egretta garzetta (little egret) is the source of this 9067-nucleotide RNA transcript. It is a transcript of the gene named tubulin tyrosine ligase like 5, with no coding region annotated. NCBI's taxonomy places the organism in Eukaryota, Metazoa, Chordata, Aves, Pelecaniformes, Ardeidae. The record is from RefSeq and is a predicted model, not a curated record. The transcript is spliced from 35 exons.
GUCGCGGCGCGGGGGAGAAGCAGGCGUUUCCCGCUGCGCCGGGCCUGGCCAGCCUGGUGCGGUUCUGCGGACGGAGGCAGAGCAGGGCAGGGACGUGCUUCAGCGGUAACUGUGCUUGCAACAUCCCUUGAAUCUGCAGGAAGGACUCUCGGAGGCUACUGAGACUGGGCUGUAUGAAAACUCCCAGAGGAAAUGCCAGUUGGGAUGGCUCGAGAUCUGGAGGAAAGUGGCUCGUCUUCAGAGGAGGAGGAGGAUGUUGUAGAUGGGCUGGAGGAUCAUCCAUGUAUCAAGUGGACUGGUGGUGGCUGCAGGCGGAUCCCCAUCUUGGUGUUUCAUGCUGAAGCCAUUCUGACCAACGACAGCUACCUCCGCCUAAUUGGAGAGCGCUACCACUUGUCCUAUAAGAUUGUGCGAACAGACAGCCGUCUGGUGCGAAGCAUUUUGACUGCCCAUGGAUUCCAUGAGGUGCACCCUAAUAGCAGUGAUUAUAAUCUCAUGUGGACAGGAUCACACUUGAAGCCCUACUUGCUACGUUCCCUUACAGAUAUUCAGAAAGUCAAUCAUUUCCCCAGGUCAUAUGAACUGACACGAAAGGACAGACUAUACAAGAACGUCAGUCGUAUGCAGCUGGCCCAUGGAUUCAAGACGUUCCAUAUCUUACCUCAGACCUUUAUCCUCCCGUCAGAGUACCAGGACUUCUGCAAUACCUAUUCUAAGGACAGAGGCCCAUGGAUAGUGAAGCCUGUGGCCUCUUCCAGGGGUCGAGGUGUCUACCUGAUAAACAAUCCAAACCAGAUUGUCCUGGAAGACAACACCCUGGUUUCUCGUUACAUCAGCAACCCCCUGCUCAUAGAUGAUUUCAAAUUUGAUGUGCGCCUCUAUGUUCUGGUUACAUCCUAUGAUCCACUUGUCAUCUAUCUCUACGAGGAAGGAUUGGCCAGGUUUGCAACAGUGAGGUAUGACCAGACAUCCAAGAACAUUAAAAACCAGUUCAUGCAUCUGACCAACUAUAGCGUCAACAAGAAGAGUGGAGAUUAUGUCAGCUGUGAUGAUCCUGAAGUAGAAGAUUAUGGAAACAAGUGGAGCAUGAGUGCAAUGCUGAGGUACUUAAAACAAGAGGGGAGAGACACGGCAGCGCUGAUGGCCAACGUGGAGGACCUGAUUAUCAAGACUGUAGUUUCUGCUGAGCUGGCCAUUGCCACAGCUUGUAGAACUUUUCUUUCACAUCGUGGCAGCUGCUUUGAGCUCUAUGGUUUUGAUGUCCUUAUUGAUGAUACUCUCAAGCCUUGGCUGUUGGAAGUGAACCUAUCCCCAUCACUGGCCUGUGAUGCUCCUUUGGACCUGAAGAUCAAAGCUAGCAUGCUCUCAGAUAUGUUCACUCUUGUAGGCUUUGUGUGCCAGGAUCCAGGCCAGCGGUCAAGCCGGGCCAUUUAUCAUUCAUCUGAAUCUGUCAGGAGAAAUCCAUACCAGAAGCUGCAGCGUCCUGUGUCUGCGCAGUCACAAACAGCAAACACCAGAUUGCGUACCCGUCCUCUGUCUGCCAGUGAUGCUGAAAUUAAAAACCCGAUGCCCUCAGGCAGGGAAAAAGCAACAGGAAGGCAAGGCAGCUCUGUGCUAGGUCUCUCCAUGGAGGAAAUAAAAGUUCUUCGUCGAGUGAGAGAGGAAAAUGAACGGAGAGGAGGCUUCAUCCGGAUAUUCCCUACCCCAUUAACAUGGGACCUUUAUGGAUCCUUUUUAGAACACAAGACAUCAAUGAACUACAUGCUGGCUACACGUCUGUUUCAGGACAGGGGCAAGAUGAAAAGAGACUUCAUUGCUGGGAGAUCCCGAACAGGUCUUGAUGGAAGGCUGGAUAUGAGACUGGAAGCUGUAGACUCUCAUUCUCUUUUUUAUGAGAGAAAGCUUGUUUCACUAGAGUUACGGAAGCGCCGGCGAUGUCAUGGCAAGGCUAGAGCAGCACGGACAAGAUCAUCAGGGACAUCAGAACCAACAAAGCUGUCCCUCAAGUCAGACACAGAAGGUGAGGAGGAAGAGGAGGUGGAUGCAGAUGAAGACAACGAACUAGAUAGAACUGUUGACUCUCUUUCGGACACCCAGGUGAAAAGCAAGCCAAAGCUCUCUGACUUGGUGAAACCUACUUGUAAGGAGAGGGUGCCAAAAAAACUUGACAAGAAAACCGGAGAUGGUGGAGAGCCUUUUCUUCAAAAACCAGACUCAGAAUCUCAGUUUAACUUGCUGCAGAUUCUUCAAAAGCAUGGAAACCUGAGCAAAGUGCAAGCUCGCAGGGCUUUCUCUGCCUAUCUACAGCAUGUUCAGUUGCGACUGAUGAAGGAGGCUGGUGACCAGAUCCAGAAUCCUGCCUGGGCUGCCAAAGAGGAUGAGCAAAUGGAGCUUGUGGUACGCUUUCUGAAGCGAGCUGCCAGCAAUCUUCAGCAGUCCUUGACGAUGCUGCUCCCCAGCCGUCGUUUAGGACUAAAUGAUCGUCGUCGCAUCCUGGCUCACCAGCUGGGCGAGUUCAUAAUCUGCUAUAACAAGGAAACGGAGCAGAUGGUUCAGAAGCGAUCAAAAAAGAAACAGGAAGAGGAGGAGGAGGGAGUGAAUCCUGAAGGCUUUCAGAACUUUAUUACCAGAGCAAGUGAAAGUGACCUGGAGGAAGUGCUGACCUUUUACACACACAAGAACAAGUCAGCAAGUGUCUUCCUAGGAACAAACUCCACAAACGCAAAACCCAGCAGCACCAGUAACCAGUCAGAAAAACAGCCUCAAGGGGAGCAUCCCGAGGUGAUGAAAAAAAUAAAAGGUGAUCAGCCCAAAAGUUCAGUUGCAGAUCUGCCUGCAGAAGGAGCAUCAAAAGGCUAUAAACCCAAAGAAGUUAAAUCAACCUUUCCAGAAGCACCCACCUUCUCCUUAAAUGCUGAAGUGAAAUUACCUCGGUGCGGCCCUCCUAGCGCUUCUUCCUGUGUUUCUGGUGCCACAUUCCAGAGAAGUACCAGUUCCUGGAUACCAUCUCAGCCUGCAGCCUCUGAAAAUUCACAGGUGCCUCGUCACCAUUCAUUGCCAGCUCCUCCAGUUGGUCCCAGGCUGAUUCAGUCCUCAUCCCUACUACCCUCCUCACAGAGCACUGCUCCUGACAGCUCUUCUGUCUUCACAAACCCAGUGUCCAGUGAGGCUUCUAGCCUUGCAGGAUUACAUCGUAGUCAUUCUGGUAGCUACACCAUUGGCCCAUUCUCAUCUUUUCAGAGAGCUGCUCAGAUCUACAGCCAAAGAUUGUCCCGACCAUCAUCUGCAAAAGUAGGUUUGUGCCAUCACAGUCCAAGUGGGCAGCGUGUGGGCUCAACCAGGAUGCACAAAGAUGCAGAAGAUACUUCUUCCCAGGGCAAACGUUAUAGUCCCAGUGUGGUAGCAGCGGAACUGCAGCAGCUGGCAGAAAAGCAAGCAGCCUGUCAGUAUUCCCCACCAAGCCACAUGACUAUCCUUACACAGCAGUUAACAAACCUGAACUUGGCAAGUGGAACUAUAAGCAAGGGAAAUGCAGCUGCUACAGAGAGCUACCGGUCACUGCUCAACAAAAGAGGGCCAUUGUGGGCUGUUCAGUCAGACACUCAUAUAGCUGAUAAAAGAUCUGUCUCUUCAGCAGUCAGGGCUCCAGAGAAUCAUCAUUUUUCCUGGGAAGGAGAGAUGGAGAACAGUGUCUACAACAAGGUGACACGGAGUCCACUGGUACAUCCCAACUGUCAGCUCCAUUUUGCUGUGCAGCAACUUCAGCAGCAGAAACUUCAGUCACGACAGCUGUUGGAGCAAAGCCAAGCCCGGCACCAGGCUCUCUUUGCCAGCUACUCACAAUCCAGCACCAGCCAUAUAUCUGUGCCAGCUGGCUCUGAUGCCUGCAAGACAUCAAGUGCCACUUCUAGUAUCCAGAAGGCAGCCAGUUCGCACAAAGUGAUGCCAUCCCAGAGUACGCCUUCUCAGCUGGUUCCAAAGCCUCCAGCAAACCACAGGCAGACAGCGGUCAGAAAGGCUGCAGCCCAGAGGAUUUCCAAGGUGACCUCCACUGAAAGGCAGCCGAAUGGAUUCCAGAACAGCCUUCACAGUGCUGCAUCCUGUGAGCCAGGGACAAAUUCCACAGCCUCUGCUCACAGAGAAGGACUAAGACUGAACACCAGGUGAGGAAUCCAGGGUGUUGCUUCAAGUAUGGGGCAAAGGAAAAAGCAGCAGUGACUUCAUACCACCACACUCAGAUAACACCCAGGAGAGAGUGAAGAGGAGGCCCUGGUGAGAGGACCACCCACUGAGGAGAGUACCAGAACAUCUGUGGAAGCUGGUGAUACAUCUGCAAACUGAGCUCCUCUGUCAUUUCUAGCCUGUAGAGUCAUGAUUUAGACAUCAUUCUGAUGUGUUGGCAAGUAGAUAAUGAUCAACCCAAAUGGCAGACAGAAGAAAGAGUCUUUAAAUUCUCUUUAAAUAUUGUGUUUAUGUUCACUCUUGGAUUCUGCCUAUUUUCUGUCAUUCAAGACCAGAUAAAUUGUGAGAAGAUGAAAUAAUGAGGUUCAUACCCCAUUAGUUUCACUAUCACUUGCUCCAGGCAUGAAUUCAUAGGACAGAACAUGCAUUUUUCUAUUUCUGUUCCACUCACGCAUAUGACAGACACUGAAUACUUCAUUUGUCCAAAAUGCAGUUCUGAUGUAGUUGUUCCCUUACUUUGUUGGCUUAUCUUUCAUUUACUAGACAGUCAUGAUCCUUUUCACUUUCUUUGCAUUUUUCAGCUGUGUUCUUCAAGAAUCUCCAUGACAUUUUUCUACUGCCUGUGCUGCUUUCACAUAUCAUCAGUGACCAAGAGAUUUGUAAAAUCUUGUAAAGUUGCUUUCAGAUCAUGACCCUUCUGUCUGUAAUCAUUUAAAGCCUCCCAUGGAUCUCAGACAUAGAUGUUUCUACUGGUGCAUCAAGUUAUCAGCUCAUGAUGAGUGAAAAUUUAGUUGCAGAAGUUGUUACUUCAAACUUCUGUGCAACCUCAGCAGCUGUGGGCUUCAAGACCUUGGAUCUGUCUUCUCAUAGCCUACUCUGCUAAUGUGUGGUAUUGGCUAUAGCCUCCAGCUCUGUUCCAGAACUGUCAGAGGGCUUAUUUCCCUAUAAGACUUAGCUUCAGUAAUAAUAGAUUCCAUUCCUUUCUUCCCACCAGGGGAUCAGAGUUACCCUUAUUCCACUGGGUUUCAUGUGCAGGAUUGAGUAGCCAUUAGGGUAUACAUCCUUGUGCAAUUCUCAUCUCUGUUUUUGUUCUCUAGUUUCUUCAUUCAGGUUGUCACAGCCACCACUGAAAACUAUAGAGAGGUUUGGAGGAUAGAGAUUUAAAUGCACAGUUUUCCCAGGAAAGGUGAUUGUCUUUGGAGGAUCAUUGUCAGAAACAGCUUUCUUACAUCUCUGGCAAAUUACUAAUUAGUGCUGGCUUAUUAUCAAAAUAGGUUAAUUGUUUUGUCAGCUUUUCCAGUCUCCCACCCACUCAUUUUGGGAUAAUGAUUUUACUCAGCUACAGCCAGCAUAUUUUCCGAUCUUCUUUGCAUUGCAUGUUAGAUGUAGCCAACACCACAUCUGUUAUCUGUGAUGACUUAGUAGCAGUGUAUCAUUCAUCUUGUCUCUUAACAUUUUUGAAAUAUUCAGAGAAAUGCACGUUGCAGUCUAAGACCCUUGUUUGGAAGGAUGAAUUUUGUCAGCUUCAGGAGCAGUGAAGUCUUGCAUUCUUUGUCCCUGGAAAUUUUUUCUUCUGCUUCCAAAAUACAAAAAAAAAACCCCAAGGGAUAUCAGGACUGGUCCUUUACCUCAAGCCAAACACCUAGACCUUGAACUCCUGUUCAGCCUCAGGAUAUGUUAGGGCAGCCAGAGCAUCAAAAGAAAUAGCAGUACUCCUUUGCUUUGGGCAUCUGCUGAUCCCAGCUCUGAACAUAAAUUCUUGUGAGCAUGUGCAGUAGAGAAUCAGGAACAAGUCCUGUGAUUCCUGUUACUUUAUUUUUUCCAUCUCCUUGUACUCCUCAGCCUGGAGUCCACAUAUGUCUUUGUGCAUGGUGGAUGCUGGGUACUGAUGGAUAAUGUGUAUUUUGUCUCUUUGCAGCUCUGCAACCUCCAUGUCUGUCCCUUUUCAAAAACCUCUCUGAGGGCUUCAGUUAGAGAUUAAGUGGGGAGGCGUAGAACUGUUUCCCACAUGUCUUAGAGAGAAGGCAUUUUACAGGAAGUGUUUUGCAGUACAAGGGGGGAAAGGAGAAUAGCAAACCAUUUGGGAUUUAUAAUUGUUGCAUAUGAGGGGAGAACAAUUAUAUGCAUGCUCCUCGUGGGGAUUAGUUUGUGUCUGCUUUUAUGACAUUUACUUCCCUGUAUUCAACAAUGAGUUUCAUCGAAAGUGCCUUUUUUUACUGUGAGAAAAGAAAAUUACCAAUAGAAAGCCCCAACAAUCAUUUGCAUCUACUUCAGUGGUGAGACUCGAUAAUAUAACCAAGGGGCCCUCUUCUACUCCAUGAUGUUUGUAUCACUUAUAAGUUAAGGACCCUGUUUCAAUGACAGAGAAUCAGGCUUGUUAGUCUUGAAAGGAGUAAGGUGCAUGUCAGAGUACUGGAGGCUGCAGUAAUGCAGAAUUCAUACAAGUGUUUUGUGCCAUAUUUAGACGAUGAGCAUACCACAACAUAAAAAUUAAGGGAGGGAUAUUAAAUUCUCUCCUCUCCAGAAGCAGCUGACUUGUACUUAGUACAUAAGUAUUAAGUUCACUUUCAUAUGGUUCAUUUUGGCCUUUAAACCAGCCUCACAAGUCGUCUGAGUGCCAUCAGUGGGAGAUCAUGUUGCGACACUAGAUAGACCACUUAGUCUUGGAUGCCAAUGAGGCAUACUGAAAUUUCCAUUCUCAAGACUAGAUAUGCUUUUGGACAAUCAUGGUUUGUUGGAAAUGCUCCUCAUUGUGAUGCCUGGAGGGUCAACAUAGAUAUCUCUGAUACUGGUGUCACACUGUGGUAGGAGGUUUUGGUAUCAAGACUUUGGUUUACUAGUAGGAAUCUCGAUGCUGUGCCUCUUCCUCAUACUGUAAUAUGGAUAGUCUCUGUGUGCGUGGAGUUGGAAUGGCUGGCAGUGCUGGACCAUUCCUUUUCUUUACCUGUGAAGGAGAUCAUUGUCUUACAGGUGAGUUUACAGAACAGACUGGAUUCUCAGCUCGCAUUCUUUUAGGCCUGUACCUUGUACUAAUACAGCAGUUACAGUAAUUUUGGAUUAUUUGCUGGAAACAAAAGUAGUCUGGCUCCUGCUUAUUUUUGUUAAGAUUUACUUGAUCAAACUGCCAAAGACUUUUUUCUUCAGUCAGUCCUACAUUUGCUACUGAUGAUAAUCCCGGGCUCACUGUUUGAAUCUGGAUAGGUUAUUUGUUGGUGUUUAAAUAAUUGGAUUUUUUUCGUUGCAGUAACUAACUAGCUGACUGAUCCUCUUCAUACUGUUUCUUUUCUGGACACAUUAUUCCUGUAGAUCUGUCAUGAGUUUCUUCUAAAAGAAGCUUCUGAGCUUUACGUAGCCUGAGACUUUACCUCCUUUUCUUCUUUCUAGAACCUUGUGUUCCUAGAGCUAAGACAUUCUUGUUACACCAAACAUCAGGAGGACCUUAUUUUAUCUUUGCAGAAUCAGGUCAGUCAAACAGUCCUUGAAACUGGUUAUACCAAGAGCACAAAACUUAACAUUCAUAGUUCUCUUUAUGCAGAAAGUGGUUAACUGCAAAAGAGAUGAGCAAGGAGGCGUGUAAAGGAGAAGGUGAAAAGGGAGUAAUUGUUCAUAGGUUUGCCCAUGAGAAGAAGUAGGAGCAUCAAAUGAAACUAACACAUCAGAUUCAAAGGGGAAAAAAAGGGGGGGGGGUGUUGUGAUUUUCUUUUUUCACAGUACGUAAUUGACCUAUGGAACUCCAUGUCACAAGAUGUUGUGGGUACAAAAAAGUGUAUAUGGUUUGAAAAGAUAAGUAGACAAAUCCAUGAAAAAGUAAUCUACUGGGGCAUAUUAAAUAUUAAAACUAAAAAACAAGCAGGAAGUUUCUAAGACUUUUCAAGUGACUAUUCUGGAGAAGUAUCAUGAUGGGCUUUUUCCAAUUUUUAGUGUGUCUAUCAGGCGUGUGCUGUUGACCAGUGACAGAGAUGAGAGGUGGGCUAGAUGGUCUUGUAGUCUGACUUUGUAUGGAUGUUUUAUUUUGACAGUCGCAGUACAGCCUAGUAGAACAGUUAAGGCAAAGUUGCCUUCCACGACAACAGCAUGUUCCACCAGAAUUCACUCUGUGGUGUUGGGUUCUCUAAGAAAAGUCUCCAUUGCUGACAUCUGCCAAGUUGUCGCAUGCAGCUUGUCUAUGUCUUCACCUGGAUGGGCGCUAUAUAUUGCAGAGUUUUUCAGAAUGAUGAAGCUCUUAAAAGAGCAUAAAGGACACCAAGAUCCACCUCUAGACAGUUGUGAUUUUGGGGGAAAGUAGGUUGCUGUAUGGAAGUCAUCACUAAUAUGAUGUAUGUAAAUGGUUAAUCACUUAAAUAUGGAAAAGAAAAUACUUACUACUCUGAAGGUCUUAAUCUUAUUCAUACACAUUUCACUUCUCUCCAUCUUUGUCUUCCGAAGUGCUUGAGUGCAGAGCACCUUCUGGGUGAAUGUACACUACCACCCCACAUCUUAAAGAACUACAGUACCUGGUCACUGCUUUCUUCCCACUUUAGAACCCUACUGUCCUUUUCGAAAAAAAUGAGAUUAAGUUUCCCUGCUGCCUUAGAGAUGAGUAGUUAAGAAACACAAGCUGAUCUUCUCCAAAAUUGUUGAAUGCUGAGUUUUUGAAACAGCCUCUCCAUGUGGUUUUAACACAGAGGACAAACUUCACUGAACUAAAGGUGACAAACAAGACACCAAGUCUGCCCUGAGGAGUCUGCUCUGUCUGUUACCUUACAAAAAAAAAGGAUUUUACUGGCCCUCAUUGAAAAAGAGUGUUCACUGCUGUUCCAAUUUACAGGAAAGAAUCACUGAUCACUGUGGAGACCCUGGUGUGAAGCUUUUGCCAGUGGUAUUCAGUGAAUAAUAGUGGUUCCGU